RNAcentral lists this ribosomal RNA (251 nucleotides) under uncultured bacterium. RNAcentral's name for it is "partial 16S ribosomal RNA". It matches the Rfam family "Bacterial small subunit ribosomal RNA", at positions 57 to 305 of the family's 1533-position model. The record is from RNAcentral.
GCAAGUCGAGGGGCAGCACGGGUGCUUGCACUUGGUGGCGACCGGCGGACGGGUGCGUAACGCGUAUGCAACCUACCUUAUACAGGGAGAUAGCCCAGAGAAAUUUGGAUUAAUAUGCCAUAAUAUCAUAAAGCCACAUGGUUUAAUGAUUAAAGAUUUAUCGGUAUAAGAUGGGCAUGCGUAUGAUUAGCUAGUUGGUGAGGUAAUGGCUCACCAAGGCGACGAUCCCUAGCUGGUCUGAGAGGAUGAUC